Molecule: ribosomal RNA, 433 nt
Filed under: uncultured bacterium
Lineage: Bacteria
Description: partial 16S ribosomal RNA
Rfam family: Bacterial small subunit ribosomal RNA
Source: RNAcentral
GCGAACGCCGGCGGCAGGCCUCACCCCUGCCAGUCGCACGAACCUUUCGGGGUUAGUGGCGGACGGGUGAGUAACACGUGGGAACGUGCCUUUAGGUUCGGAAUAACUCAGGGAAACUUGUGCUAAUACCGAAUGUGCCCUUCGGGGGAAAGAUUUAUCGCCUUUAGAGCGGCCCGCGUCUGAUUAGCUAGUUGGUUGAGGUAAUGGCUCACCAAGGCGACGAUCAGUAGCUGGUCUGAGAGGAUGAUCAGCCACAUUGGGACUGAGACACGGCCCAAACUCCUACGGGAGGCAGCAGUGGGGAAUCUUGCGCAAUGGGCGAAAGCCUGACGCAGCCAUGCCGCGUGAAUUAUGAAGGUCUUAGGAUUGUAAAAUUCUUUCACCGGGGACGAUAAUGACGGUACCCGGAGAAGAAGCCCCGGCUAACUUCGUG